Molecule: ribosomal RNA, 328 nt
Filed under: uncultured eukaryote
Lineage: Eukaryota
Description: partial 18S ribosomal RNA
Rfam family: Eukaryotic small subunit ribosomal RNA
Source: RNAcentral
CCCUUAGAUGUUCUGGGCCGCACGCGCGCUACACUGACUGGUUCAUCGAGUAUACAACCUUGACUGAUAGGUCUGGGUAAUCUUCUCAAAGCCAGUCGUGCUGGGGAUAGAUUAUUGUAAUUUUUAAUCUUCAACGAGGAAUUCCUAGUAAACGCGAGUCAUCAACUCGCAUUGAUUACGUCCCUGCCCUUUGUACACACCGCCCGUCGCUCCUACCGAUUGAGUGGUCCGGUGAGGCUUUGGGAUCUGAGCGGAAAGAGCGUUUCGCUGUUUCUGCUCGGAAAACUCAGUCGAACCUUAUCAUUUAGAGGAAGGAGAAGUCGUAACA